This 160-nucleotide unclassified non-coding RNA is filed under the name soil metagenome. RNAcentral describes it as "partial internal transcribed spacer 1". The record is from RNAcentral.
CCGAGUUUACAACUCCCAAACCCCAUGUGAACAUACCUACUGUUGCUUCGGCGGGAUUGCCCCGGGCGCCUCGUGUGCCCCGGAUCAGGCGCCCGCUAGGAAACUUAACUCUUGUUUUAUUUUGGAAUCUUCUGGAGUAGUUUUUUACAAAUUAAAUAAA